Molecule: ribosomal RNA, 440 nt
Filed under: uncultured bacterium
Lineage: Bacteria
Description: partial 16S ribosomal RNA
Rfam family: Bacterial small subunit ribosomal RNA
Source: RNAcentral
CCUACGGGUGGCAGCAGUGGGGAAUAUUGCACAAUGGGGGAAACCCUGAUGCAGCGACGCCGCGUGAGUGAAGAAGUACUUCGUUAUGUAAAGCUCUAUCAGCAGGGAAGAAAAUGACGGUACCUGAGUAAGAAUCCCCGGCUAACUCCGUCCCAGCAGCCGCGGUAAUACGUAGGGGGCAAGCGUUAUCCGGAUUUACUGGGUGGAAAGGGAGCGUAGACGGCAGUGCAAGUCUGGAGUGAAAGGCGGGGGCUCAACCCCCGGACUGCUCUGGAAACUGUACGGCUGGAGUGCAGGAGAGGUAAGUGGAAUUCCUAGUGUAGCGGUGAAAUGCGUAGAUAUUAGGAGGAACACCAGUGGCGAAGGCGGCUUACUGGACUGUAACUGACGUUGAGGAUCGAAAGCGUGGGGAGCAAACAGGAUUAGAUACCCCAGUAGUC